RNAcentral lists this long non-coding RNA (264 nucleotides) under Nannospalax galili (Upper Galilee mountains blind mole rat). Its description in RNAcentral is "Hydatidiform mole associated and imprinted conserved region 1 (ENSNGAG00000008225.1)". It matches the Rfam family "Hydatidiform mole associated and imprinted conserved region 1". Lineage: Eukaryota; Metazoa; Chordata; Mammalia; Rodentia; Spalacidae. The record is from RNAcentral.
CUUACCAUGUGCUAAGUAAGCAACCAGAGACUCCAAGCAAGACCGGUGGGUUAAUACGUAGAAGGAAGUGGAAAGUUGAGGGGGGGGGAGGGUACAAGGUUUGCUUCGGGGACCAGGACCUCCCCGCGCGGCCCAAGAAGGUUUACAGGAGGGGCCCGGAGCUGCCUGGGAGGGUGGGGUUAGAGGAAGAUUCCUGGAAACAUGAGGCCCUAAGCAGAGAUUUUGCUAGUUUUAAUUUUUAUUGGUUUCCUAAAACACCAAAGU